AAGAAUAAAAAAAUCUACUUUGAGAUACAUCAGUAUAUUCUCUGCAUACGAAAAAUUGGAUGCAAAACAUUCUAAUGAGGCAACGAAGAGAAGAGUUAUGGAAUAAAUUGAAGUUAUCAGAGGUCAUAUGGCAUUGAUAUAUAUAUAUAUAUAUACAACUAUUCUAAAUGAGAUUUCAAACAACGUGUUAGAUGAGAAGAAGCAUAUCAUUCUUACAUAUACCAUACCCACAUACACCUGAAAUUCCCAAUGUUAAGAGGGGAGAAAAGUGCAAUACCUCUCUUGUAUCUCGCAAGCGUAGAAGGAGAAAGAGAAAGAUAGGAAAGACGCCAAGUCAAGCCAUGUACUACUAUUGGCCAUACAAUGACGGCACUUACCCAGAAGUUGAAGGUUUGAGUCCUGCUGAAAUGGCCCUAUAUUUUUUUAGGGUAAUGUACUGUGGAAAGGAAAAACACAAAAGAAGAGCUUUUCUUGGAGGACAAAGGAAAAAAAAAAAAAAAGCCAAAACAAGAUAAACAAUACAGGAAAGAGGCAUGGACUAACAACAUUCAAGGGUGCUCAGCAUUCCCCAUUAACAUUUCUAACUAAUCAAAUAUGCUAGCUCUAGAAUGUAAUAAUAUAAACAAGGCAGAAUGCCCAAUUCGCACUAGCACUCGUCUUUUAUUCUAGGCAAGUACUACUACGAAGAAGUCAGAAUUGUAACUACUAAGAAGAAUACCUGCACGACCAUUUGCAGAAGAUGCAUGCAAGUAAUUGAGCUUGAAAUCCAC
RNAcentral lists this long non-coding RNA (770 nucleotides) under Prunus persica (peach). Its description in RNAcentral is "long non-coding RNA (PPER_LNC001678)". Lineage: Eukaryota; Viridiplantae; Streptophyta; Magnoliopsida; Rosales; Rosaceae. The record is from RNAcentral.